RNAcentral lists this ribosomal RNA (497 nucleotides) under uncultured bacterium. Its description in RNAcentral is "partial 16S ribosomal RNA". It matches the Rfam family "Bacterial small subunit ribosomal RNA", at positions 28 to 507 of the family's 1533-position model. The record is from RNAcentral.
GACGAACGCUGGCGGCGUGCCUAAUACAUGCAAGUAGAACGCUGAAGAGAGGAGCUUGCUCUUCUUGGAUGAGUUGCGAACGGGUGAGUAACGCGUAGGUAACCUGCCUUGUAGCGGGGGAUAACUAUUGGAAACGAUAGCUAAUACCGCAUAACAAUGGAUGACACAUGUCAUCUAUUUGAAAGGGGCAAUUGCUCCACUACAAGAUGGACCUGCGUUGUAUUAGCUAGUAGGUGAGGUAACGGCUCACCUAGGCGACGAUACAUAGCCGACCUGAGAGGGUGAUCGGCCACACUGGGACUGAGACACGGCCCAGACUCCUACGGGAGGCAGCAGUAGGGAAUCUUCGGCAAUGGGGGCAACCCUGACCGAGCAACGCCGCGUGAGUGAAGAAGGUUUUCGGAUCGUAAAGCUCUGUUGUAAGUCAAGAACGAGUGUGAGAGUGGAAAGUUCACACUGUGACGGUAGCUUACCAGAAAGAGACGGCUAACUACGUG